GGAAAUAUGCCCGAAUUUAAGGACUACUUUGAUAGAGUAAACAAUAGAGGUUCAAAUCCUCUUAUUUCCU
Molecule: transfer RNA, 70 nt
Filed under: Stenocercus doellojuradoi
Lineage: Eukaryota; Metazoa; Chordata; Lepidosauria; Squamata; Tropiduridae
Description: tRNA-Ile
Rfam family: tRNA
About the family: Transfer RNA (tRNA) molecules are approximately 80 nucleotides in length. Their secondary structure includes four short double-helical elements and three loops (D, anti-codon, and T loops).
Source: RNAcentral